Molecule: microRNA precursor, 59 nt
Organism: Oryctolagus cuniculus (rabbit)
Lineage: Eukaryota; Metazoa; Chordata; Mammalia; Lagomorpha; Leporidae
Gene: ocu-mir-504
Product: ocu-mir-504
Source: Ensembl
AGACCCUGGUCUGCACUCUAUCUGUAUGCAUAUUGAAGGGAGUGCAGGGCAGGGUUUCC